Molecule: ribosomal RNA, 465 nt
Filed under: uncultured bacterium
Lineage: Bacteria
Description: partial 16S ribosomal RNA
Rfam family: Bacterial small subunit ribosomal RNA
Source: RNAcentral
GAUGAACGCUGGCGGCGUGCUUAACACAUGCAAGUCGAACGGAAAGGCCCAAGCUUGCUUGGGUACUCGAGUGGCGAACGGGUGAGUAACACGUGGGUGAUCUGCCCUGCACUUCGGGAUAAGCCUGGGAAACUGGGUCUAAUACCGGAUAGGACCACAUUUUGGAUGGUGUGGUGGAAAGUUUUUCGGUGUGGGAUGAGCUCGCGGCCUAUCAGCUUGUUGGUGGGGUAAUGGCCUACCAAGGCGUCGACGGGUAGCCGGCCUGAGAGGGUGUACGGCCACAUUGGGACUGAGGGACGGCCCAGACUCCUACGGGAGGCAGAAGUGGGGAAUAUUGCACAAUGGGCGCGAGCCUGAUGCAGCGACGCCGCGUGGGGGAUGACGGCCUUCGGGUUGUAAACUCCUUUCGCUAGGGACGAAGCGGAAGUGACGGUACCUGGAGAAGAAGCACCGGCUAACUACGUG